This 218-nucleotide ribosomal RNA is filed under the name uncultured bacterium. RNAcentral describes it as "partial 16S ribosomal RNA". It matches the Rfam family "Bacterial small subunit ribosomal RNA", at positions 328 to 539 of the family's 1533-position model. The record is from RNAcentral.
ACGCUCGACACCUACGGGAGGUAGCAGUGAGGAAUAUUGGUCAAUGGGCGCUAGCCUGAACCAGCCAAGUAGCGUGAAGGAUGAAGGCUCUAUGGGUCGUAAACUUCUUUUAUAUAAGAAUAAAGUGCAGUAUGUAUACUGUUUUGUAUGUAUUAUAUGAAUAAGGAUCGGCUAACUCCGUGCCAUCAGCCGCGGUAAUCUGAGCGGGCUGGCAAGGC